This 839-nucleotide ribosomal RNA is filed under the name uncultured archaeon. RNAcentral's name for it is "bacterial SSU rRNA". It matches the Rfam family "Archaeal small subunit ribosomal RNA", at positions 21 to 859 of the family's 1478-position model. The record is from RNAcentral.
GACCACUGCUAUUGGGGUUCGACUAAGCCAUGCAAGCGGAGGGCAGUUCGGCUGCCCCGCGGACGGCUCAGUAACACGUAGUCAACCUACCCUUGGGUCGGGUAUAACCCCGGGAAACUGGGGAUAAUCCCCGAUAGGUGGGGGUACUGGAAAAGUCCCUCCCCCAAAGCUCCGGCGCCCAAGGACGGGACUGCGGCCCAUCAGGUAGUUGGCGGGGUAACGGCCCACCAAGCCGACAACGGGUACGGGCUGUGAGAGCAGGAGCCCGGAGAUGGAGACUGAGACAAGGCUCCAGGCCCUACGGGGCGCAGCAGGUGCGAAAACUUCGCAAUGCGCGAAAGCGUGACGAGGGAACCCCAAGUGCCGAUGGUCUUUUUGAUCGUCGGCUUUUCAGGAGUUCAAAAAUCUCUUGGAAUAAGAGCUGGGCAAGACUGGUGCCAGCCGCCGCGGUAACACCAGCAGCUCAAGUGGUGGUCGCUAUUAUUGGGCCUAAAGCGUACGUAGCCGGGCCAGUAAGUCCUUUGUGAAAUCGGGCGGCUCAACCGUUCGGCUUGCAGGGGAAACUACAGGCCUUGGGGCCGGUAGACGUUGAGGGUACUCCGGGGGUAGCGGUGAAAUGCUCUAAUCCCUGGGGGACCACCAGUGGCGAAGGCGCUCAACGAGAACGGACCUGACGGUGAGGGACGAAGGCUAGGGGAGCGAACCGGAUUAGAUACCCGGGUAGUCCCAGCUGUAAACUAUGCAAACUCGGUGAUGCAUUGGCUUGAUGCCAAUGCAGUGCCGCAGGGAAGCCGUUAAGUUUGCCGCCUGGGAAGUACGUACGCAAGUAUGAAACUUAA